This 490-nucleotide ribosomal RNA is filed under the name uncultured bacterium. Its description in RNAcentral is "partial 16S ribosomal RNA". It matches the Rfam family "Bacterial small subunit ribosomal RNA", at positions 29 to 507 of the family's 1533-position model. The record is from RNAcentral.
AAUGAACGCUGGCGGCAUGCCUUACACAUGCAAGUCGAACGGCAGCAUGACCUAGCUUGCUAGGUUGAUGGCGAGUGGCGAACGGGUGAGUAAUGCAUCGGAACGUGCCUUUUAGUGGGGGAUAACGUAGCGAAAGUUACGCUAAUACCGCAUAUUCUCUGAGGAGGAAAGCAGGGGACCUUCGGGCCUUGCGCUAGAAGAGCGGCCGAUGUCGGAUUAGCUAGUUGGUGAGGUAAAGGCUCACCAAGGCAACGAUCCGUAGCGAGUCUGAGAGGAUGAUCCGCCACACUGGGACUGAGACACGGCCCAGACUCCUACGGGAGGCAGCAGUGGGGAAUUUUGGACAAUGGGCGCAAGCCUGAUCCAGCCAUGCCGCGUGAGUGAAGAAGGCCUUCGGGUUGUAAAGCUCUUUCGGCUGGGAAGAAAUCGCACCCUCUAAUACAGGGUGUGGAUGACGGUACCAGCAUAAGAAGCACCGGCUAACUACGUG